Molecule: long non-coding RNA, 888 nt
Organism: Bubalus bubalis (water buffalo)
Lineage: Eukaryota; Metazoa; Chordata; Mammalia; Artiodactyla; Bovidae
Exons: 4
Source: RefSeq, a predicted model, not a curated record
GUAGAACCAGGAAAUUCUUCCAGCCUGGGAAACUCUUGGCUCUUCCCAGUCCCUCUCUUGGAGCUCUAGCUGCUACUGCAGAUAAGGCUGAGGAAGACCUGGAGAGGAAAGGAGGACAGCCAGCCAGGGAAAAGAAGAGGACUGGUGGGCCCUGGUUUGUCCCCGGCUCUGCCUGUCUCCACUGUGUAGCCUUGAGCAAGUCUCUACCCCUUGGUGGGCCUUGGUUUGUCCAUAUGUAUAAUGGGAGACUAAGUGGUCAUUAAGGACCUUCCUUAUCAACCUUCCUAAGACCUACCCACCCACCACUGCCUUGAACAAAUCGCAAAGCUAGUGUCAGGCCAGGAGGGCCAGGAAAGGAGGCAGCUGAGCUUCAGUUUCCUUAUCUGCUCACUGAGAACCAGAAAGUUCUGUGCUGCCCACCUUGGGGCUCUCACUGGCAAGGAGACAAGCCCGGUUUCCAUGGAAGGAGGGAGUUGACUAAGAUGAUGACUAAGCCUGGACAUUCUAGGGUUCCAUCUUCCUCAAACCACAUUCCCAAGCUCUCUGCCUGCCCUGCCAGGGAGAAGAGCCCCAGACUCUUCAGUGAAGAAAGACACCAACAGGAGAGCAUGAACUCAGUCCCCCACUACCACAAAUCAUGCAGUUGAGUUUUCUACAUUUGGGGAAAUCACAGGGGUUAGCACAUCUGGAGUGCAAUGGAUGAACCAAACCCUGGAAAACCAGCUUCAUGAUCAUGGCACGUCCCCUGACAGUUGAAGUCCAUUCAUCCUCUCAGGCUCAGCCUACACCCUGCCUCCUCCAGGAAGCCCUCGCCGUUCCCAGCCUCUCAGGCCUCCAGGGCCUCCCAGCUUCACCUUGCCCGAAGACUUCACACCCUUGAGGAUACAG